This 2119-nucleotide long non-coding RNA is filed under the name Lucilia cuprina (Australian sheep blowfly). RNAcentral describes it as "uncharacterized LOC124419116, transcript variant X2". The record is from RNAcentral. Lineage: Eukaryota; Metazoa; Arthropoda; Insecta; Diptera; Calliphoridae.
UACUUAACGAAAUGGUAACAUAUACGAAUGUAACAUAGAACUAUUGUUGUCUUAUUCUAUUAUACGGUGUUUUAUGAAAAAACGCUACUUGCUAAUUUUCUUUUUUAAGGGAAUAUGUUAGUAAUAUAAAAUUAUAAGAGAACAAGGUUUGCUCGCGACCUUUUACUUUUGCAGACAGCGCAAGAGAGUCUGUCAAAUAAAUAAAUAAAUAAAUAAAACAAAAUAAAAUACAUAACACUUAAAACGAGAUAACAAACAAAAUCCGUUACAAAAAUAAAUUAUGGCUACAGAAUUCAAAAUGUCGAAAAGACAUACAAUGAAUGUAGAUAUCACAGAAUUAUAAUAUAAAAUAUUUCAUAUAAUACGGUGGUUCAGGUACAUUUGUUGAACUUAUAUUAGUCAAAACGGAGUGAGCUGAGCUCUUAAUAUUAUAUAUUUUUCUCUUUAGCCCCUAUGGGAGCCAGGAACUAUUUUAGAAUAAAAUUGUGGCAACAUAUGUUGGUCAUGAUCGAUGUCCGGGUUCUCGUUCAGUAUACCAACUGGAGAGAGAUAAGUUGAACUUGACCACUGCAGACUACUUUCCAACUCAUGAAUUUCAUUCAUCAGGGAGUUUUCGUGGGUGGCCAAUUUUUCAACAAAUACCCUUUGAUGGUGAAGUGCAUAUUUACAGAAGGGUUGGACUUCAGAGGUGUCAUAUAUUAUCUUCCGUUCAAAUAUUUCCAAUUCUUUGGCCACUAUUGGUGAGAUAGUGAACCAGAUUGGAAAUCCAUAUAACAAGACGGAUCUGAUGGUCACCUUAUAUAGGAGCAGCUUGGAUUCACGAGAUUUAAAUGGUAUCUCAACCCCAUCGAGAGCGGCGCGUAACAUUUUGCUUUGGGGUACUACUGACCGAUGACACUUUCCGGAAGCAUUCCUAAUACAGAUGGCCUCCGAUUUGGUAGGAUUUAUUUUAAUUCCCCAUGUUUUAUAAAAUUCAUGUAUCAACAUAAGAUGAGUUGAAACAUUGUGAAGAGCCUGGGCUGGUGAGGCGCUGUGGGCAUAAAUUAAGCAAUCAUCUGCGUAUAAGAUUGCCUUAGAGUUCUGUGUGGUAUGUGGAAAAUCAUGAAGAAAAAUAUUGAACAAAAAUGGGGCAAGUACGCUUCCCUGAGGGACUCCACUAUUUACAUACCCCAAUGACGAAGAUGAACUCUGUAUCUGGACGGUAAAUUUACGGUCAGAUAGGAAACUCUGGAUCAAUUUAACCAGAACGUGCUCAAAUACCUUUCCAAGAUUAGAAAGCAAGGAUAUAGGGCGGAAAUCGGACAAUUCCUCACUGUCGUUUUUCUUUUUUAUUGGGAUUAUUUUUGCCAACUUCCAAUCAAUGGGAAAAUAACAAUUGUUAAUACAAUGAUUUAUAAUACAGAGUCGGUGAAAUGGUAUCCAUCCGGAUUUGAAAAUACGUUAAAAUUGUCGUCAAAGGUGAAAAUGUGGUUUGGAAUUACCUCAAUACAAUUUAAGAUUCUUGAGUCAAGAUCAUCCACCGGCCGCUCUGAAGUUGUUCGACGAAAAUUUGAUGAAUAAAAGAUUCGGAAAUGAUCUGCAAUUUCCGCAGGAUUAGAUAUGACAUUAUCAUCGUGUCGUAUCUGUCGACACAGCGGAGAUUUCCUUCCCCCUGUAAAGUGCAUAUUCAAUUCCAACAGAUUCUUUAAUAAUUAUCUUCAGAAGUUGAAUUUGUUUAGAUAAUAUUUUGUAAUCACUGCUGAGUCUGUUUCCGGUGCGGUGAAAGAUAUUCUUCAGUUCCUUUUGCCAUUGGUACUUCAUUUUGAAGAGUUUUUUGGUUCUCUCCGAAAUUGGCGUUUUCUUGCAAUUAGUUAUUUGUAAUUUAUAAAUUAUAACAGUAAUAUUAUUAUCAUGUUAUCUUUGAAAAUUCUUUUGAAAAUAUUUUCAUUAUUACAUAAUAAUUAAUUUAUAUUAGAAUUCAAAAAACACAAAAUAUAAUAAUUUUAACUUUUUUAAUAAAUAAUUUAAUAUUUAAUAUAAAAUAAAAUUGAGAUCUUUAACUAACUGAUCCUACCUACAUAUUGGCGAUCCUGCCAGGAGUAAACAAAAUAUGUCUAUCUUUGUGUAAAAUUUGGAAGAA